Long non-coding RNA from Caretta caretta (loggerhead turtle), 692 nucleotides. RefSeq lists it as uncharacterized. The record is from RefSeq and is a predicted model, not a curated record. Lineage: Eukaryota; Metazoa; Chordata; Testudines; Cheloniidae.
AGGCUAGAGCAUUCUCUCUACCUUUAUGAUGAUGAUCAUAAUGGUAAAACUAAAGAUAUUUCAUUUACUCUUCAAAUAAAGAUUACUUUUCCUGGGUGAGUGCACCAGUAAAAUUUUGCAAAACAGGUCUAACCUAAUCUGAGCAUCUAGGCAUUUAUAAAUUAUACCACAUAAUGACUGUGGUAUCUAUCUAUUUCCAAAUCCAGUGCUGCAACCACUGAAUAACUUUACACACAUGAGCAAUCUGAAUUAUUUAAAAUGAGACACUCAUAUGCCUAAAGUUAUUUAGAUGCAUAGGUGUUUUGCAGAAUUGGGCCUGAAGUUCAUACACCGCAAUCAGUGUAGCUGGGAUUUUUACACUGCACUCUUCUCCAUGGUAUGCAGAGGAUGAUUCUCUCUGAAUGUGUACUUUCUUUUCAUCCAGUUAUUGCAACCCAGUUAUUAAAAGGAAGAACAUAACCACAACAGCCUUUCUGUUCCAUGAAUAAUACUGACCUUGGACCUUUUUGUCUGCCUGGAUUCCUUUUUCCUUUUGUUCACUUCAGAUUGAAUGUAUUGUGCCUCUUCAUUCUUUUGUCACCAAGCGUUCAGCCCCAGUCUUUCUGUAACCAUUGACUGAGAACAGUAUUUAUAAUGUUCAUGGCUGAUACCUGUAUCUGUUAGACCAUCUUAAAGUCUGUUGCACCUCUGUG